AACGAACGCUGGCGGCAGGCUUAACACAUGCAAGUCGAGCGCCCCGCAAGGGGAGGCGGCAGACGGGUGAGUAACGCGUGGGAAUCUACCUAUCACUACGGAACAACUCCGGGAAACUGGAGCUAAUACCGUAUACGUCCGAGAGGAGAAAGAUUUAUCGGUGAUAGAUGAGCCCGCGUUGGAUUAGCUAGUUGGUGGGGUAAUGGCCUACCAAGGCGACGAUCCAUAGCUGGUCUGAGAGGAUGAUCAGCCACACUGGGACUGAGACACGGCCCAGACUCCUACGGGAGGCAGCAGUGGGGAAUAUUGGACAAUGGGCGAAAGCCUGAUCCAGCCAUGCCGCGUGAGUGAUGAAGGCC
Molecule: ribosomal RNA, 359 nt
Filed under: uncultured bacterium
Lineage: Bacteria
Description: bacterial SSU rRNA
Rfam family: Bacterial small subunit ribosomal RNA
Source: RNAcentral